This is an RNA transcript of Neopelma chrysocephalum (saffron-crested tyrant-manakin), 1876 nucleotides long. It is a transcript of the gene named tubulin tyrosine ligase, with no coding region annotated. Lineage: Eukaryota; Metazoa; Chordata; Aves; Passeriformes; Pipridae. The transcript has 8 exons. The record is from RefSeq and is a predicted model, not a curated record.
GGAGCAGGAGCCGGAGCAGGAGGGUGGUUCUGGUUCCGGGUCAGUCCCCGCCCGGGCAGGCUCCUCGGGCGGUGCGCGGGGGCGGCGGUCCCGGCCAUGCGGAGCCGGGCCGGGCGGCGCCGGCCGCGCAGGGCCCUGCCUGGGCUGCGGCGGGGCCCCGUGAGCUGCCGGGGGUAGGGCGGGGUGCCCCCCUUCCCUUCCCCCACCCCCCCCGCCCGUCGCCAUGUACACCUUCGUGGUGCGGGACGAGGGCAGCAGCGUGUACGCCGAGGUGAGCCGGCUGCUGCUGGCCAGCGGGCAGUGGCGGCGCCUCCGCAGGGACAACCCCCGCUUCAACCUGAUGCUGGGCGAGAGGAACCGGCUCCCCUUCGGCAGGCUGGGCCAUGAACCUGGACUUGUGCAGCUGGUGAAUUACUACAGGGGAGCAGACAAGCUGUGCCGCAAAGCAUCUCUGGUGAAGCUAAUCAAGACAAGCCCUGAGCUAUCAGAGUCCUGCACAUGGUUCCCUGAGUCAUAUGUGAUUUACCCAACAAACUUGAAGACCCCAGUGGCUCCAGCACAGAAUGGAAUUCACCAUCUCAUAAACAACACAAGAACAGAUGAGCGGGAAGUCUUCUUGGCAGCUUACAACAGGCGGCAGGAAGGCAAAGAAGGCAACGUGUGGAUUGCCAAGUCCUCAGCUGGUGCCAAAGGAGAAGGGAUCCUGAUUUCUUCAGAGGCUACAGAGCUUCUGGACUUCAUCGAUGAGCAGGGACAAGUGCACGUGAUUCAGAAAUACCUGGAGAAUCCUCUACUUUUAGAGCCAGGGCAUCGCAAGUUUGACAUCAGGAGCUGGGUUCUCGUGGAUCAUCAAUAUAAUAUCUACCUCUACAGAGAGGGUGUCCUGCGGACCUCUUCCGAACCAUAUAACAGUGCUAAUUUCCAGGACAAAACCUGCCACUUGACCAAUCACUGCAUUCAGAAGGAAUAUUCCAAAAACUAUGGGCGGUAUGAGGAAGGGAAUGAAAUGUUCUUUGAGGAGUUCAACCAGUAUCUGAUGGAUGCCCUGAACACAACGCUUGAGAAUGGCAUCUUACUGCAAAUCAAACACAUAAUAAGAAGCUGCCUUAUGUGUAUAGAGCCUGCAAUCAGCACGAAGCAUCUUCACUACCAGAGCUUCCAGCUCUUUGGCUUUGACUUCAUGGUGGAUGAGGAGCUGAAGGUCUGGCUAAUAGAAGUCAAUGGGGCCCCAGCGUGUGCUCAGAAGCUGUAUGCAGAGCUCUGCCAAGGAAUUGUGGAUGUAGCCAUUUCUAGUGUUUUCCCCCUCAAUGACACUGGGCAGAAGAUGAGCCAGUCAUCAUCGAUCUUCAUCAAGCUGUGAUGACGUCAGGACUGCCACUGCUGUGAACAGGGAAAGACUGCAUCCCUGGGGAUGGACAUUCAUUGCAACACACUGAAUCUACAAGUGGCAUUGUUUGACACAGGGCCACUCAAAUCCAGGAGGGAACAGAGUGCUUAGCAAAACCCCAUGGAAGAGAGGGCACGUCCCGAAGAACCACACAAACACCUCUGAAGUUGUCAACACCCUGAAGCCAGCAUGGAUCUGCAUCUGCAGAGUGCGUGGUGGAUGCAGAGUGCACUGGUGCACGCAGAGAAGUGACAGGGAGCAGGACCUGUGUGAAAAGGGGGCUGUAGCUUGGUUCCCCUGCUCUGCAGGUACUGGCAGGUGGCUUCACUUCUAGCAAGAUGCUGAAUGCCAGGUCUGGUCUCUGGAUUUGGGCCUCAUGGGUGUUGGGAAGAUGGACCAUGAAUGCACUGCUCCAUGAGAUGGGAAGUGCUGGGUGAUAAAGUGGGGAGAGGGGUGUUGGGGAAGGAGUGGUUGGGUUUUUAGCACAUA